AUGGGAUUAUUGUGUGAAAUAAACAAACAGUGUAAUAGGAAUGAGGUUUCCGUUACAGCCAUGAUUCCUGAUGCCGUCCAUCUCAGGAGGUUUCCAGCCAUCAGAAAGACUUUUCAUUUUCAGUUAAGUACAGAAAAAGGGAGGAGCCCAAUUCAGAACUCCAGAUACCCAAGUCUUGAAAAAUGCAUCCACUUAUUCUACUCAACAGGAAGCUUUCUAAGUUUCUGGUCUUUAUUGGUGAAAGAAGUUUCCACAUCAGAAAUUUUUACACUGAUUCAAUCACAGAUAUGGACAUUCACAGGUAAAUAUCAGGGAUGUAGUGUGAGGUAGUGAAAUGAAAAUUAAUUUUGGAGUUUUGGAAAUCUAAGUUGAGACCCCAGUUCUCUCCUUUUGGUAAGCUGCAGAAAUUUGCUGAAGUUUUUUUUCUUUUCUCAAAUAAGGCAGGAGGUAGGAUGGGGACUAGAUUAUUUCUAAAGCCCCUUCUAAAUCUAAACUCUUAUGGAC
RNAcentral lists this long non-coding RNA (504 nucleotides) under Monodelphis domestica (gray short-tailed opossum). Its description in RNAcentral is "lncRNA (ENSMODG00000004529.4)". The record is from RNAcentral. Lineage: Eukaryota; Metazoa; Chordata; Mammalia; Didelphimorphia; Didelphidae.